GAUUUUGAUUCCACAUGCUUGUAACUACUCCCUCCGUCCCAUAUAUUGGAUGUAAUAAGAUCUCAUAUUAUGGGACGGAGGGAGUAGUUAUUAUCAUGUCUUGUCCAUCAAACUACCCUUUUAAAUUGCUAGUUAUUGAUGGUUAUUAGACUUGAGGGACACAGUCUGUCAUGAUGAAGUUGUUCUAUCAAGAGAUAUGCAUCUUCUGCUGGUAUCCUUUGAGCCAGCAUCAGCUAGUUUGCAUCAUUUUAAUUUUAUUUGUUACAUCGGCCUUAUAAAUAUGUAUCGUCUAUGUCAGUUAUGCAGCGGUGUUGAAUAAAAUGCUGCCGGUGCAUGUGCGCAGCUUGAUGAAUCGUUCGCUGAUAAUGCUCCACUGCUACUGUCGGGCUUCCACGUGAUACCACUUGAUGCCAAGACGGAUGCACCAUCAGCAACACGUACACCAGACCUUGCAUCUACUCUUGAGGUUAAGGUUAGACCUGGUGUGCUCCUAGUGAUGCAUCCGGCAAUAGAAGAUGAGUACUUACCAGUGCUUUCCAGUUCUCGUAUGAGAAACACCUUCGAGAGAGUGUUGCGGCAGUGGCGAGGGAGUAUGUGAGGACUGUGGUGGCACGGUGCAGAGAGUGGCCAUGGCAGUAGCCCCUUCUGGUCCUAGUGGACAGAGUGAAAUGAAGAACCCUCCAGGAUCUCCUGAUGCUCCCAUGCUUGCAAGGUUUCACACUGGAGCGGAACUCCUUUGCACGGACUCUCAGAGUGCGGACGCUUCCCUGAAAGCGUUGCGGCAGGACUCAGAUUCAAUCAUUUGCUGUUCCCUGAAGGCUGCUCCUGUGUUCAGCUUCGCUAAUCAAGUCGGCCUCGACAUGUCGGAGGCGAUGCUGAUUGCUCUCCAGGUUUCCCAAGAUCAUGCAUCAGGUACGUGGCCAGCCACCGCUCUGAAUGAAUUGCAGACUCGCCUCUGGGCUCCGGCUGUUUGUAACAAGAUUGAAAGUUUGAAACUCUUGUUGUGUCCAGGGUUUCGCGUACCUCCCCGGCGGCGUGUGCAUGUCGAGCAGGGGUAGGAAGGUCAUUUUGCUGCUGGAAGUUUGAUCUCCUGUAGGGCGGACGGAGCGAGAAGACUGACCGAUGGAGGUUCUGGCGCUGCUUGGUCUUUGAAAGCGCUGAUUGUUAUAGCCGAUGAUGCAUCAUAAAAGUGCCUGUUGGCUGGUUCAAGUGUCGGAGGCCGGUGGUAUUGAACCGGUGAACUAGUGUUGAUAUCCAUGCCAAUUGCGACGAAGACUCAGGUGGCCGGAAAGAAGCGCUGUGUUCUCCAUCUCAGUGUAUAUUUGGCGUCGCGCUGGGUUCCUCUUGCUACCAAGUUUAGUCUUAGGUUUUGUGAGAAAUGCAGUUUAAUGAUGACCGAUAUCAUAGUGGCUUGUAGUUUUUAGCUCAUAAAUUUUUUCUGAUGUGCCUUGUAGUUUUAGUCCAUCACAUGCUAUUCUG
This 1479-nucleotide ribosomal RNA is filed under the name Triticum aestivum (bread wheat). Its description in RNAcentral is "partial small subunit ribosomal RNA". The record is from RNAcentral. Lineage: Eukaryota; Viridiplantae; Streptophyta; Magnoliopsida; Poales; Poaceae.